UACGGGGGGGGCAAGCGUUGUUCGGAAUUACUGGGCGUAAAGGGCGCGUAGGCGGGUGGACUAGUCUCUCGUGCAAGCCCACGGCUCAACCGUGGAAUUGCGGGAGAUACUGUCUGUCUUGAGUCCGGGUGAGGAGGGUGGAAUUCCCAGUGUAGCGGUGAAAUGCGUAGAUAUUGGGAGGAGCACCGGUGGGGAAGGCGGCUCUCUGGACCGGUACUGACGCUGAGGCGCAAAAGCUAGGGGAGCAAGCGGG
This 253-nucleotide ribosomal RNA is filed under the name uncultured bacterium. RNAcentral's name for it is "partial 16S ribosomal RNA". It matches the Rfam family "Bacterial small subunit ribosomal RNA", at positions 524 to 776 of the family's 1533-position model. The record is from RNAcentral.